CUCCUGCGGUUAUCAAGUAUAGGAGGUCCAGCCUGCCCGGUGACUAUGGGUUUAACGGCCGCGGUAUUUUGACCGUGCAAAGGUAGCGCAAUCACUUGUCUCUUAAAUAGAGACCUGUAUGAACGGCUAGACGAGGGCUUAACUGUCUCCCCCUUCUGGUCAGUGAAAUUGAUCUAUCCGUGCAGAAGCGGGUAUGAAUACAC
Molecule: ribosomal RNA, 203 nt
Filed under: Meda fulgida (spikedace)
Lineage: Eukaryota; Metazoa; Chordata; Actinopteri; Cypriniformes; Leuciscidae
Description: partial 16S ribosomal RNA
Rfam family: Bacterial large subunit ribosomal RNA
Source: RNAcentral